UUGAGGACCCUAUGAAAGAUACAUGACACCAGAUAUGAACACACAGUUUUGAUCAAGUAGAUAGUAUGCACUUCAUUUACAUAUUAUCUACAUACCCUUGCUGUUCCUGCAUGCUUGAUGUAGUCAGCAAUGGCAACCUGAAGAUCAUCUGCUUCCACCUCAUGUUCUUUGAAGGUUGGGGGGCCAACCCUUGAGUUGUUGAUUCUAUGUACGUUGAGUACGAUUUUCCUCAGCAGGUUUGUGGAGGCAUCCUAAAGAAGGGAGAAAAAAGUCAGGAGUGAGGGUGUAACGAAGGAAAUUCUGAUGCAACCAAAAGUACAUGAGUGAUGAGUCUCAAAAGGUACUUACCGGAGAGCACAUGAGUGUUUCAUCUAAAACAUUGUAAGCGCGGAGGCAGUUUGGUGGAACAGGGAGAUUGCUCAUCACAAAUCCAUCCUGAAGAAUAUAUCCCUUAGCAGCAAUCUGCCUUCUUGUUUUUUCUGAGAUCUUCUCCAUUAUUUUCUGAACCUAAGAAACAGAAGAACAAAAUGGUGGCUUUUGCUAUGAGAGCAACAAGUCUCUGUCUAGUACUAGUACCUCUUCUGCGAAUAAACGAUGGCAGUGGGAGCUGCCCUUCGUGUGAAAGCCAAAUUGAUCGAGGAAGCUCCAAAAUCCCUCUUCCAGUUCUUUCCUGGAUGGCACUCUCAGCUCCAAGUUCUUGAACUGGAGGCAGCUGAAGCAGAUCAUGUUGAGUAUCUUCGUCAGCUCGGCGAUAUGGCUUGGGUGGUAGACAGACACGGGCAGCUUGAUGAACCCGAAAUGACCUUCAGCCAGCCAUGAGAAGACGAGUUUUGUCAGAAAAAAAUAAAUGAAGGUGGGCAGAAUCGCUGUCAUUACAACAAUCUCUUUGACAGCUCAGCUCAGGAACACACUAUAUAUCAGUGGAGGUAAAUGCUGCGGCAUUUAUUUUUACCAACAAUGUCUCUGACAGUGCACAACAGUAAACUGAACGGCCAGGUGGAAUGAGAUGCUGUUAUUUCAGCCGACUUUUUUGAGUAUUGCCAAAAGCAUAGGAACAAGAGAUACCUAUCCUAUCAGUUGAGACAAAUGCUGAUGCAGAACUGAUUUUGCCAAGAAUACUCUGACAAUGUAUAACACUCAAGUGAGUAGUCAGAUCAGCUGUUAUCAUAUCAAACUAUUUGUGUUUCAACAGAGUGAUCUUGCCUAGGAUUAUCACACACUGAACUAGGCAACUAGCUAGCCCACCAAGAAGUUUUAUCUGGAUGUUUGUAGACGUGAAGUGGCACUAUUCAUCGCUAAAUCAAAGGGGCACACCACUGUUCGUAGAAACCUAGAAAAUCAGGUAUAAAACAGAGAGGAGCCAGUGAGUCACCUUCACACUUGGCGAGGUCGGUGGCGCCGCAGGAGUCGCAGUGGCCGAGCUGCAGCGGCAGGCCCAGCGCCGGGUUCCCGGCCAGCUGGCUCGGGUGCGUCACCGGGAACUCCUCCUUCAUCGGCUGCGCCUUCACCUGCAAUGCAUGCGACCAUCAAUGUCGUUGGUUAAUCACCGCUGCUUUGCUAUGAAGGAGGAGGGGGAGGAGAAGAUGAAGAGGAGGCCAUGAUUGGUUGGUUG
Long non-coding RNA from Triticum aestivum (bread wheat), 1612 nucleotides. RefSeq lists it as uncharacterized. The record is from RefSeq and is a predicted model, not a curated record. Lineage: Eukaryota; Viridiplantae; Streptophyta; Magnoliopsida; Poales; Poaceae. The transcript is spliced from 7 exons.